Molecule: unclassified non-coding RNA, 203 nt
Filed under: uncultured fungus
Lineage: Eukaryota; Fungi
Description: sequence contains ITS1
Source: RNAcentral
GUAUAGUAGUGCGUGUGCACAACAGUAAUUUCAUUACAUUCGAGUUUGUGUAAAAUUCCUCUGCCGGCCGAAGCUAGCAAGAGGCCAGAGGUUCACAGGGUAUUGGAUGAAAGCCACCGACGUGCACUUGCCAGUUUCUGGCCAGCACAGAAGGCAACCAUUCGUAAUCAUUAAUGAUCCUUCCGCAGGUUCACCUACGGAAA